AUCCUUCUGCGGAUACAUGGGACCUCUCCUCACCUUUAAUAUCAUUAUGGAUAAACAGGUUUUACAUUUUAUUUGGGGCUUUGCUGUUAGCAUUAGCCUUUGGAUUUGUGUCCAGAUUGUCAUCAAGACGCAGGGCAAGAACUUACAGGAAAAAUCUGUUCCAAAAGCAGCUCAGGAUUUGAUGACAAAUGGUUAUGUCUCCCUUCGAGAGAAAGACAUCUUUGUGUCUGGAGUGAAGAUUUUUUAUGGUUCUCAGACUGGAACAGCAAAGGGAUUUGCAACAGUUCUGUUUAGAUAA
RNAcentral lists this long non-coding RNA (298 nucleotides) under Pan paniscus (pygmy chimpanzee). RNAcentral's name for it is "lncRNA (ENSPPAG00000044426.1)". Lineage: Eukaryota; Metazoa; Chordata; Mammalia; Primates; Hominidae. The record is from RNAcentral.